This 781-nucleotide ribosomal RNA is filed under the name uncultured rumen archaeon. RNAcentral's name for it is "bacterial SSU rRNA". It matches the Rfam family "Archaeal small subunit ribosomal RNA", at positions 1 to 783 of the family's 1478-position model. The record is from RNAcentral.
UUCUGGUUGAUCCUGGCGGAGGCUACUGCUAUUGGGAUUCGAUUAAGCCAUGCAAGUUGAAUGAAUUUAGAUUCAUGGCGUACGGCUCAGUAACACGUGGAUAACUUACCCUUAGGACUGGGAUAACUCUGGGAAACUGGGGAUAAUACCGGAUAUUAGGCUAUGUCUGCAAUGGUUUGCCUUUGAAAUGUUUUUUUUCGCCUAAGGAUAGAUCUGCGGCUGAUUAGGUCGUUGGUGGGGUAAUGGCCCACCAAGCCGAUGAUCGGUACGGGUUGUGAGAGCAAGGGCCCGGAGAUGGAACCUGAGACAAGGUUCCAGACCCUACGGGGUGCAGCAGGCGCGAAACCUCCGCAAUGUACGAAAGUGCGACGGGGGGAUCCCAAGUGUUAUGCUUAAAGGUAUGACUUUUCAUUAGUGUAAAAAGCUUUUAGAAUAAGAGCUGGGCAAGACCGGUGCCAGCCGCCGCGGUAACACCGGCAGCUCGAGUGGUAGCUGUUUUUAUUGGGCCUAAAGCGUUCGUAGCCGGUUUAAUAAGUCUUUGGUGAAAGCUUGUAGCUUAACUAUAAGAAUUGCUGGAGAUACUAUUGGACUUGAAGUCGGGAGAGGUUAGAGGUACUACCGGGGGUAGGGGUGAAAUCCUAUAAUCCUGGGAGGACCACCUGUGGCGAAGGCGUCUAACUGGAACGAUCUUGACGGUGAGUAACGAAAGCCAGGGCGCGAACCCGGAUAGAUACCCGGGUAGUCCUGGCCGUAAACGAUGUGGACUUGGUGUUGGAAUGGC